Molecule: ribosomal RNA, 875 nt
Filed under: uncultured bacterium
Lineage: Bacteria
Description: bacterial SSU rRNA
Rfam family: Bacterial small subunit ribosomal RNA
Source: RNAcentral
AGGAUGAACGCUGGCGGCGUGCUUAACACAUGCAAGUCGAACGGAGAGCUCACGAACAAGUUUUCGGACAAGGGAAUGAGUUUCUUAGUGGCGGACGGGUGAUUAACGCGUGAGUAACCUGCCUUGGAGAGCGGAAUAACACAGUGAAAAUUGUGCUAAUACCACAUGAAGCAGUUGGGUCGCAUGGCCCUGACUGCCAAAGAUUUAUCGCUCUGAGAUGGACUCGCGUCUGAUUAGCUAGUUGGUGGGGUAACGGCCCACCAAGGCGACGAUCAGUAGCCGGACUGAGAGGUUGACCGGCCACAUUGGGACUGAGAUACGGCCCAGACUCCUACGGGAGGCAGCAGUGGGGAAUAUUGGGCAAUGGGCGCAAGCCUGACCCAGCAACGCCGCGCGAAGGAAGAAGGCUUUCGGGUUGUAAACUUCUUUUAUUCGGGACGAAACAAAUGACGGUACCGAAUGAAUAAGCCACGGCUAACUACGUGCCAGCAGCCGCGGUAAUACGUAGGUGGCAAGCGUUAUCCGGAUUUACUGGGUGUAAAGGGCGUGUAGGCGGGAAAGCAAGUCAGGCGUGAAAAUUAUGGGCUCAACCCAUAACCUGCGUUUGAAACUGUUUUUCUUGAGUGAUGGAGAGGCAGGCGGAAUUCCGAGUGUAGCGGUGAAAUGCGUAGAUAUUCGGAGGAACACCAGUGGCGAAGGCGGCCUGCUGGACAUUAACUGACGCUGAGGCGCGAAAGCGUGGGGAGCAAACAGGAUUAGAUACCCUGGUAGUCCACGCUGUAAACGAUGGAUACUAGGUGUGGGAGGACUGACCCCUUCCGUGCCGCAGUUAACACAAUAAGUAUCCCACCAGGGGAGUACGAUCGCAAGGUGAA